Molecule: ribosomal RNA, 496 nt
Filed under: uncultured bacterium
Lineage: Bacteria
Description: partial 16S ribosomal RNA
Rfam family: Bacterial small subunit ribosomal RNA
Source: RNAcentral
AUGAACGCUGGCAGCGUGCCUAAUCCAUGCCAGUCGAGCGAACAGAUGAGGAGCUUGCUCCUCUGACGUUAGCGGCGGACGGGUGAGUAACACGUGGAUAACCUACCUAUAAGACUGGGAUAACUUCGGGAAACCGGAGCUAAUACCGGAUAAUAUAUUGAACCGCAUGGUUCAAUAGUGAAAGACGGUUUUGCUGUCACUUAUAGAUGGAUCCGCGCCGCAUUAGCUAGUUGGUAAGGUAACGGCUUACCAAGGCAACGAUGCGUAGCCGACCUGAGAGGGUGAUCGGCCACACUGGAACUGAGACACGGUCCAGACUCCUACGGGAGGCAGCAGUAGGGAAUCUUCCGCAAUGGGCGAAAGCCUGACGGAGCAACGCCGCGUGAGUGAUGAAGGUCUUCGGAUCGUAAAACUCUGUUAUUAGGGAAGAACAAAUGUGUAAGUAACUAUGCACGUCUUGACGGUACCUAAUCAGAAAGCCACGGCUAACUACGUG